This 1668-nucleotide long non-coding RNA is filed under the name Homo sapiens (human). Its description in RNAcentral is "non-protein coding LINC02140:18". Lineage: Eukaryota; Metazoa; Chordata; Mammalia; Primates; Hominidae. The record is from RNAcentral.
AACAGCCAUCCUCAUUGCCACCUUGGAAACCGCUUGUGAGAGGCAGAGUGGAGGCCACCAUUUAGUGCCAAUAAACAGAAGGCCUGGUUUCUUCAAAAGAAACACAAGAAAUUGUUUCCUGGUUUUGCCACAGAGAUUGGGUCACAGAGUGCCACCUAAAUGGUAUUACCAUAUUUGUGUUGUCGCCUCUUGGUUUGAAAUUUAUUCCUGGUAUGACUUGUGUCUCCCCUUGUUCCAUCUCUGACACCCAAGCCCAUGGGAUGACAACCCAGGCUGAGAUGUCCCAUGUGUCACAAAGGAGUCCUUCAGUAUUUCCAGGAAUAGUUGGAACCAGCACUCCAUCCCCUACCUGGACCUGGCACCCUCUCUACUCUUGUCAAUUCUACACUAAUCACAGGAAGAAGGUGGAAUUAGUCCAAGCUGGGUUUUCAGAAAUAACUUGUAGACAUGCAACAGAUGUUUAUAACCCUCAGAAGCGGAAGGAAACUUGGAAACCCUCUCUUUCGGUGACUUUUUUUCUAAUGAUUGUCUCUGCCAUGAAAUUCUAACUUCAAAUGAAAUCUUUGGCAGGAACCCAGGGCUGUUCUGUCAAGGUUCAGCUGCAGGACCAGAGCCCCUUCCACCUAACCCCCACUCCUAUCCUGAUGCUUCCUGAGGCACAUCUGCUGUGGUUUCUCACCAGAGAACAGUCUGCAAAAUCACUGCACCUUGUCCAACUCCAUUUUCCAACUGAGAAGACUUGGCCCAGAGAAGUGCACAGACUUGAGGGAAGUAACACAGCAAUCGGACAGACAGACAUCCCCAGAUAUACCUGCUACGGUCCUGGGAGAAAAUAGAGACCCAUCCCCAAAUACCAUCAUCCUCAUCAUUCUCUGUAGCCCAAUCAAAUGAUGCUCCAGGCCUGAGAUUUUAUCCAAUGAACACUCUGUACAUCUUUAAAAGAGAUAUGUACUUGUCUUAUUCCUCCUUUCCUUUCUUUAAAAAAAAACACAGGCCCCAGAUCCAGUCAUUCUAAAUAGGAAGGAAAAACAUAACCCACUGAGGCAAUGGAUGCUGUUUCUCUCCCUGCUCUGUGACUUUAGUUUGCCUUUAAAGCCCAUUUUCACCAUUUAUUGAUUUUAGUUUUCUACUUGUCUAUGAAUGACAACUUGAAUUAAGACAACGCAGGCUGAAAAGCCGCUAGGCAGUGCUAAAUGGACAAGCUACACUUCGUGGCAGGAUGUCUCAUGACCGUGCCACCUUCUGCCUAGCCCCAUUCUCUGGAGGAGCUGUGGGCAGACCGACCCCAGCCUGGCCGCCUGGCAUGGGGACUGGUUGCGUCAGAUCGGAGCUCUGAGAUAAGGGUGGGCCAGGGCAUGAUCAUCACCACUGCCAGCCUCGAAGCCUCUUUGCUGACCUGGAGGUGAUCUGUGUAUCAAAGGGGGCUGUGUAUUCAACAGCACUUCCAGAAGAGGCCAAAGAUCUGUCUCUACUUCAGCCUCCACUGGGCAGAAAACUAAGCCUAUUUGCUCUAGGCCCUUCAGACUUGCACUUGGAGAAAGAAAACUCACUAAGUCAGCCCUUAUGUAACUCCACUCUCCUCUCUUCCAAACCUCCUUGCUUUGGACAAAUAUUUGACAGAAAAUGCCCUUUUGCAACGCCUUAAAAGUUACAAAAAUGGUGCACCCU